This 85-nucleotide transfer RNA is filed under the name Felis catus (domestic cat). It matches the Rfam family "tRNA". From Rfam's summary of the family: Transfer RNA (tRNA) molecules are approximately 80 nucleotides in length. Their secondary structure includes four short double-helical elements and three loops (D, anti-codon, and T loops). The record is from Rfam by way of RNAcentral. Lineage: Eukaryota; Metazoa; Chordata; Mammalia; Carnivora; Felidae.
GCCUGGGUGGCUCAGUCGGUUAAGCAUCUGACUUCAGCUCAGGUCACGAUCUCGUGGUUUGUGAGUUUGAGCCCCACAUCAGGUU